UACGGGGGGGGCAAGCGUUGUUCGGAAUUACUGGGCGUAAAGGGCUCGUAGGCGGCCAACUAAGUCCGACGUGAAAUCCCCAGGCUUAACCUGGGAACUGCGUCGGAUACUGGAUGGCUUGAAUUCGGGAGAGGGAUGCAGAAUUCCAGGUGUAGCGGUGAAAUGCGUAGAUAUCUGGAGGAACACCGGUGGCGAAGGCGGCAUCCUGGACCGACACUGACGCUGAGGCGCGAAAGCUAGGGUAGCAAACGGG
Molecule: ribosomal RNA, 253 nt
Filed under: uncultured bacterium
Lineage: Bacteria
Description: partial 16S ribosomal RNA
Rfam family: Bacterial small subunit ribosomal RNA
Source: RNAcentral